RNAcentral lists this ribosomal RNA (483 nucleotides) under uncultured bacterium. Its description in RNAcentral is "partial 16S ribosomal RNA". It matches the Rfam family "Bacterial small subunit ribosomal RNA", at positions 30 to 507 of the family's 1533-position model. The record is from RNAcentral.
UUGAACGCUGGCGGCAGGCCUAACACAUGCAAGUCGAGCGGAUGAAGGGAGCUUGCUCCUGGAUUCAGCGGCGGACGGGUGAGUAAUGCCUAGGAAUCUGCCUGGUAGUGGGGGAUAACGUCCGGAAACGGGCGCUAAUACCGCAUACGUCCUGAGGGAGAAAGUGGGGGAUCUUCGGACCUCACGCUAUCAGAUGAGCCUAGGUCGGAUUAGCUGGUUGGUGGGGUAAAGGCCUACCAAGGCGACGAUCCGUAACUGGUCUGAGAGGAUGAUCAGUCACACUGGAACUGAGACACGGUCCAGACUCCUAAGGGAGGCAGCAGUGGGGAAUAUUGGACAAUGGGCGAAAGCCUGAUCCAGCCAUGCCGCGUGUGUGAAGAAGGUCUUCGGAUUGUAAAGCACUUUAAGUUGGGAGGAAGGGCAGUAAGUUAAUACCUUGCUGUUUUGACGUUACCAACAGAAUAAGCACCGGCUAACUUCGUG